UUCGCAAUGCCCGAAAGGGUGACGAAGCGACGCCGCGUGCGGGAAGAAGGCCUUCGGGUUGUAAACCGCUGUCGGGAGUUAAGAAAUGUAAGGAUGUUAAUAGCAUCUUUGCUUGACUAAGGCUCCGGAGGAAGCCACGGCUAACUCUGUGCCAGCAGCCGCGGUAAUACAGAGGCGGCAAGCGUUGUUCGGAAUUAUUGGGCGUAAAGAGCACGUAGGCGGCUAUGUAAGUCGGUUGUGAAAGCCUUCCGCUCAACGGGAGAACAGCAUCCGAUACUGCAUGGCUUGAGUGCGGGAGGGGAGAGUGGAACUUCUGGUGGAGCGGUGAAAUGCGUAGAUAUCAGAAGGAACGCCGGCGGCGAAAGCGGCUCUCUGGCCCAUAACUGACGCUGAGUGUGCGAAAGCUAGGGGAGCAAACGGGAUUAGAUACCCCGGUAGUCCUAGCCGUAAACGAUGGGCACUAAGUAGAGGGGUUUU
This 477-nucleotide ribosomal RNA is filed under the name Candidatus Brocadia fulgida. RNAcentral describes it as "bacterial SSU rRNA". It matches the Rfam family "Bacterial small subunit ribosomal RNA", at positions 365 to 832 of the family's 1533-position model. RNAcentral also lists the same sequence under 4 other names. The record is from RNAcentral. Lineage: Bacteria; Pseudomonadati; Planctomycetota; Candidatus Brocadiia; Candidatus Brocadiales; Candidatus Brocadiaceae.